This 422-nucleotide ribosomal RNA is filed under the name uncultured bacterium. RNAcentral's name for it is "bacterial SSU rRNA". It matches the Rfam family "Bacterial small subunit ribosomal RNA", at positions 355 to 774 of the family's 1533-position model. The record is from RNAcentral.
UGAGGAAUAUUGGGCAAUGCCCGCAAGGGUGACCCAGCAACGCCGCGUGGAGGAUGAAUGUCGUAAGAUUGUAAACUCCUGUUAGAGGGGAAGAAUAGUACCGGUUGGACCGGUAUAUGACUGUACCCUCAGAGAAAGCCCCGGCUAACUACGUGCCAGCAGCCGCGGUAAUACGUAGGGGGCAAGCGUUGCCCGGAUUUACUGGGUGUAAAGGGCGCGCAGGCGGGAUAAAAAGUCAGUGGUGAAAUCCUACAGCUUAACUGUAGAACUGCCUUUGAUACUUUUAUUCUUGAGUUCGGGAGAGAGAGACGGAAUUCCAGGUGUAGUGGUGAAAUACGUAGAUAUCUGGAAGAACACCUGUUCCGAAGGCGGUCUCUUGGUCCGACACUGACGCUGAGGCGCGAAAGCGUGGGGAUCAAACA